RNAcentral lists this transfer RNA (70 nucleotides) under Marmota monax (woodchuck). RNAcentral describes it as "tRNA.Ala". The stretch from base 5 to 65 matches the Rfam family "tRNA", at positions 6 to 65 of the family's 71-position model. Rfam says of the family: Transfer RNA (tRNA) molecules are approximately 80 nucleotides in length. Their secondary structure includes four short double-helical elements and three loops (D, anti-codon, and T loops). Lineage: Eukaryota; Metazoa; Chordata; Mammalia; Rodentia; Sciuridae. The record is from RNAcentral.
GGGCUGGGGCUCAGCGGUAGAGUGCUCACCUAGCACGUGUGAGGUGCUGGGUUCAAUCCCCAGCAUCACA